This 500-nucleotide ribosomal RNA is filed under the name uncultured bacterium. Its description in RNAcentral is "bacterial SSU rRNA". It matches the Rfam family "Bacterial small subunit ribosomal RNA", at positions 396 to 911 of the family's 1533-position model. The record is from RNAcentral.
ACCGCGUGUGCGAAGGAGGCCUUCGGGUCGUAAAGCACUUUUUGGAAGGAAUAGGAAGGAAUGUACUUCCAGAAUAAGUCUCGGCUAACUACGUGCCAGCAGCCGCGGUAACACGUAGGAGGCAAACGUUAUCCGGAUUUACUGGGCGUAAAGCGCGUGUAGGUGGUACUGUAAGUAGGGCGUGAAAGCUCCCGGCUCAACUGGGAGAGGCCGUUCUAAACUGCAGAACUAGAGGAUGGUAGAGGGAGGUGGAAUUCCAGGUGUAGCGGUGGAAUGCGCAGAUAUCUGGAGGAACACCAGUGGCGAAGGCGGCCUCCUGGACCAUUCCUGACACUCAGACGCGAAAGCUAGGGUAGCAAACGGGAUUAGAGACCCCGGUAGUCCUAGCCCUAAACGAUGUAGACUAGGCGUCGGUGGUUUAAUCACCAUCGGUGUCCAAGCUAACGCGAUAAGUCUACCGCCUGGGGACUACGGCCGCAAGGUUAAAACUCAAAGGAAUU